RNAcentral lists this ribosomal RNA (253 nucleotides) under uncultured bacterium. Its description in RNAcentral is "partial 16S ribosomal RNA". It matches the Rfam family "Bacterial small subunit ribosomal RNA", at positions 524 to 776 of the family's 1533-position model. The record is from RNAcentral.
GACGAACCAUGCAAACGUUAUUCGGAUUCACUGGGCUUAAAGCGUGCGUAGGCGGUCUUGUUAGUCAGGUGUGAAAGCCCUCAGCCCAACUGAGGAAUUGCGCUUGAUACUGCAUGACUAGAGAAUGAUAGAGGUGGGUGGAACUGAUGGUGGAGCGGUGAAAUGCGUUGAUAUCAUCAGGAACACCAGUGGCGAAGGCGACCCACUGGGUCAUUUCUGACGCUGAGGUACGAAAGCUAGGGUAGCGAACGGG